Molecule: ribosomal RNA, 406 nt
Filed under: uncultured bacterium
Lineage: Bacteria
Description: bacterial SSU rRNA
Rfam family: Bacterial small subunit ribosomal RNA
Source: RNAcentral
UGGGGAAUAUUGCACAAUGGGCGCAAGCCUGAUGCAGCAACGCCGCGUGAGGGACGACGGCCUUCGGGUUGUAAACCUCUUUUAGUAGGGAAGAAGCGAAAGUGACGGUACCUGCAGAAAAAGCACCGGCUAACUACGUGCCAGCAGCCGCGGUAAUACGUAGGGUGCAAGCGUUAUCCGGAAUUAUUGGGCGUAAAGAGCUCGUAGGCGGUUUGUCGCGUCUGCUGUGAAAACUGGAGGCUCAACCUCCAGCCUGCAGUGGGUACGGGCAGACUAGAGUGCGGUAGGGGAGAUUGGAAUUCCUGGUGUAGCGGUGGAAUGCGCAGAUAUCAGGAGGAACACCGAUGGCGAAGGCAGAUCUCUGGGCCGUAACUGACGCUGAGGAGCGAAAGCAUGGGGAGCGAAC